This 50-nucleotide transfer RNA is filed under the name Metacrangonyx remyi. RNAcentral describes it as "transfer RNA Valine". Lineage: Eukaryota; Metazoa; Arthropoda; Malacostraca; Amphipoda; Metacrangonyctidae. The record is from RNAcentral.
AGAAGUGAUUUCUUAUUACUUACAAUAAUAAAAUCCGAUAGGCACUUCUA